This 250-nucleotide ribosomal RNA is filed under the name uncultured bacterium. RNAcentral's name for it is "partial 16S ribosomal RNA". It matches the Rfam family "Bacterial small subunit ribosomal RNA", at positions 524 to 773 of the family's 1533-position model. The record is from RNAcentral.
UACGAAGGGGGCUAGCGUUGUUCGGAAUUACUGGGCGUAAAGCGCGCGCAGGCGGCUUCUCAAGUCAGUGGUGAAAGCCCGGAGCUCAACUUCGGAACUGCCAUUGAAACUGUGGAGCUUGAGGACGAGAGAGGUGAGUGGAAUUCCCAGUGUAGAGGUGAAAUUCGUAGAUAUUGGGAAGAACACCGGUGGCGAAGGCGGCUCACUGGCUCGUUUCUGACGCUCAGGCGCGACAGCGUGGGGAUCAAAC